RNAcentral lists this ribosomal RNA (253 nucleotides) under uncultured bacterium. RNAcentral's name for it is "partial 16S ribosomal RNA". It matches the Rfam family "Bacterial small subunit ribosomal RNA", at positions 524 to 776 of the family's 1533-position model. The record is from RNAcentral.
UACGUAGGUGGCGAGCGUUGUCCGGAUUUACUGGGCGUAAAGGGAGCGUAGGCGGACUUUUAAGUGAGAUGUGAAAUACUCGGGCUCAACUUGAGUGCUGCAUUUCAAACUGGAAGUCUAGAGUGCAGGAGAGGAGAAUGGAAUUCCUAGUGUAGCGGUGAAAUGCGUAGAGAUUAGGAAAAACACCAGUGGCGAAGGCGAUUCUCUGGACUGUAACUGACGCUGAGGCUCGAAAGCGUGGGGAGCAAACAGG